GCUAAGCUAUAAACAUUGAUGGCACCCUCACCAAGCCUUCCGCCAGAGUAUUACAAGUGAAAAACUUAAAACUCAAAGGACUUGGCGGUGUCCCACCUCGACCUAGAGGAGCCUGUCCUAUAAUCGAUACUCCCCGCUUAACCCAACCUCUACUAGCAUUAUUCAGCCUAUAUACCGCCGUCGACAGUCUACCCCAUGAGGGUCUAAUAGUAGACACAAUAGCAACCCAUGCCGCUAAUACGUCAGGUCAAGGUGUAGCAAAUGUUGAGGAAGUGAUUGGCUACAUUUUUUAUUUUAAAAUAUACGAAAUACAACAUGAAAUCAUGUACAAAGGUGAAUUUAGCAGUAAAAUAGGCAAGAGUGCCUACUUUAACAUCGCUCUGGGACGCGC
RNAcentral lists this ribosomal RNA (391 nucleotides) under Acanthodactylus erythrurus. RNAcentral's name for it is "partial 12S ribosomal RNA". It matches the Rfam family "Bacterial small subunit ribosomal RNA", at positions 794 to 1384 of the family's 1533-position model. The record is from RNAcentral. Lineage: Eukaryota; Metazoa; Chordata; Lepidosauria; Squamata; Lacertidae.